This is a long non-coding RNA of Lycium barbarum (goji berry), 617 nucleotides long. RefSeq lists it as uncharacterized. The transcript has 2 exons. The record is from RefSeq and is a predicted model, not a curated record. NCBI's taxonomy places the organism in Eukaryota, Viridiplantae, Streptophyta, Magnoliopsida, Solanales, Solanaceae.
UUUUCUGUAGAAUUUAAUGAUUAGUUGGAAUAAAUGGCUUAAGUGCCUAUGUUUAAUAUUGGAUAUUCGUUGGCAUAUUUGUAGACCUUGGGGAGCCCGAGGCGUAGAUUGGGAUUGACUUUAGGUUGGCUAUCUUGGAGUGCGUACGAGGUACAGACGCACAGUUUGGUGAUUCACCAGUUUAGGACAUCCCCUUCUGCUGGUUGGAGUGCUCUUCUCAUUUCAGAGCAUAUAUGUUGGUAUAUAUUUGUUCGCUGAGUAUGUACAUAUUUGUUCAGGGGUACGGCGGGGCCCUGUCCCGCCAUAUGUUUUGAUCGGUCUGUUUAGAGGUCUGUAGACGUAUUUGUGGGUUUGUGUGCCUACUUCUGUACAGUUGUGUUUAUAUGGUUCUAUUCGUUAUGGCAGCCUUGUCGGCGUGCAUUUGUAUAUGUGUUUUGGGCCGUUGUGCCAUUUGAUAGCCUUGUCGGCUUUUGACAUAUUUGACAGUCUUGUCGGCUUUUGACAUAUUUGAUAGCCUUGCCGGCUUUUUGAUAUAUGUGCAUAUGUUCGGCGAUGUAUAUUCCGCCGCCUCUUCUGAUUCUGAUAUAAUGUUUUGUACGCGCAAUCGCGCAAGAUAA